Argiope bruennichi is the source of this 304-nucleotide long non-coding RNA. RefSeq lists it as uncharacterized. The record is from RefSeq and is a predicted model, not a curated record. The transcript is spliced from 3 exons. NCBI's taxonomy places the organism in Eukaryota, Metazoa, Arthropoda, Arachnida, Araneae, Araneidae.
GACAUGGGCCCUUUUCGCAAUCCCUUGAAACCACGAUUUUCACGCUAACAUAUCGCUGUUGUUUUGGUAAACCAGUUUUAAAAGUAGAACACGAUCUUUCUUCUGAAAUAUGAAAGGAUCAUCUGUAAGGAUUAAUGAUGAGAAAGGCAAGCAAAAAGGUUUUCGGCUUGUGAAUAUACUUGCUUUGAAAAGUCUGCACCUUCCUCUAGUACUUCUCACAAUGUUACCUUCCUAUGGAAAACCACUCAGCAAACAAAGUCAGCUGUAUCCGAACCUAUGUGUCUAAAUGAUUGGAGACUGAUUA